GGCGCAGCGCGCGAGGCGGAGCUUCGGCGCUUGCGGAAGAUGAAUGUGGCCUUCGAGGAGCAGAACGCGGUACUGCAGAGGCACACGCAGAGCAUGAGCAGCGCGCGCGAGCGUCUGGAGCAGGAGCUGGCGCUGGAGGAGCGGAGGACGCUGGCGCUGCAGCAGCAGCUCCAGGCCGUGCGCCAGGCGCUCACCGCCAGCUUCGCCUCACUGCCGGUGCCGGGCACGGGCGAAACGCCCACGCUGGGCACUCUGGACUUCUACAUGGCCCGGCUUCACGGAGCCAUCGAGCGCGACCCCGCCCAGCACGAGAAGCUCAUCGUCCGCAUCAAGGAAAUCCUGGCCCAGGUCGCCAGGUGUGUGCCGGGCGAGGCGGGGCGGGGCCGGGGUUCAAGGCCCGGAUGUGCCCGCCCUGGGGUUCCGCAGGUCCGCGAGGGCCGCUGGGUGGGACUCCGCAGCUUACUAGAGAUCACCUCCCGGAGGGGCCUACCUGCGGUCGCCCCUGAUGCACCAGUGCUAGGAUGGCCAUGGAGACCCCCGGGCUGGCGGGACCCACUCGGGGGCACCAGAACUUCCCUAAAGCUUCUCAGGGUGGAUCCCAGCGCCCGGGUUAGAUAGGUUCAACGCCUGUCCCCCAACCCUGGCAUCUGUUGGAGCAGCUGAUGGGCCAUGGUCUCUGGGGUUCCC
This 687-nucleotide small RNA is filed under the name Pan troglodytes (chimpanzee). RNAcentral describes it as "retained intron". The record is from RNAcentral. Lineage: Eukaryota; Metazoa; Chordata; Mammalia; Primates; Hominidae.